RNAcentral lists this ribosomal RNA (468 nucleotides) under uncultured bacterium. Its description in RNAcentral is "partial 16S ribosomal RNA". It matches the Rfam family "Bacterial small subunit ribosomal RNA", at positions 28 to 507 of the family's 1533-position model. The record is from RNAcentral.
GAUGAACGCUGGCGGCGUGCUUAACCCAUGCAAGUCGAACGGAAAGGCCCAAGCUUGCUUGGGUACUCGAGUGGCGAACGGGUGAGUAACACGUGGGUGAUCUGCCCUGCACUUCGGGAUAAGCCUGGGAAACUGGGUCUAAUACCGGAUAGGACGAUGGUUUGGAUGCCAUUGUGGAUAGCUUUUUCGGUGUGGGAUGAGCUCGCGGCCUAUCAGCUUGUUGGUGGGGUAAUGGCCUACCAAGGCGUCGACGGGUAGCCGGCCUGAGAGGGUGUACGGCCACAUUGGGAAGGAGAUACGGCCCAGACUCCUACGGGAGGCAGCAGUGGGGAAUAUUGCACAAUGGGCGCAAGCCUGAUGCAGCGACGCCGCGUGGGGGAUGACGGCCUUCGGGUUGUAAACUCCUUUCGCUAGGGACGAAGCGUUUUUGUGACGGUACCUGGAGAAGAAGCACCGGCUAACUACGUG